RNAcentral lists this ribosomal RNA (465 nucleotides) under uncultured bacterium. RNAcentral's name for it is "partial 16S ribosomal RNA". It matches the Rfam family "Bacterial small subunit ribosomal RNA", at positions 29 to 505 of the family's 1533-position model. The record is from RNAcentral.
ACGAACGCUGGCGGCGUGCUUAACACAUGCAAGUCGCACGGAAAGGCCCUGCUUUUGUGGGGUGCUCGAGUGGCGAACGGGUGAGUAACACGUGAGUAACCUGCCCUUGACUUUGGGAUAACUUCAGGAAACUGGGGCUAAUACCGGAUAGGAGCUCCUGCUGCAUGGUGGGGGUUGGAAAGUUUCGGCGGUUGGGGAUGGACUCGCGGCUUAUCAGCUUGUUGGUGGGGUAGUGGCUUACCAAGGCUUUGACGGGUAGCCGGCCUGAGAGGGUGACCGGCCACAUUGGGACUGAGAUACGGCCCAGACUCCUACGGGAGGCAGCAGUGGGGAAUAUUGCACAAUGGGCGGAAGCCUGAUGCAGCAACGCCGCGUGCGGGAUGACGGCCUUCGGGUUGUAAACCGCUUUCGCCUGUGACGAAGCGUGAGUGACGGUAAUGGGUAAAGAAGCACCGGCUAACUACG